CCUUUCGAUCCAAUUCAGGAGAGGAAGUGGUAGGAUGCAGCUGCCGGUUCAUGGAUACCUCUGUAGUGCAGGGCAAAUAGUACUACCCUUUCAUGGGUUUGCAUGACUCGGGAGAUGAACCCGCCAUUGUCUUCCUCUAUUGAUUGGAUUGAAGGG
RNAcentral lists this microRNA precursor (156 nucleotides) under Oryza glumipatula. RNAcentral's name for it is "pre miRNA MIR159". It matches the Rfam family "MIR159 microRNA precursor family", at positions 18 to 177 of the family's 196-position model. The record is from RNAcentral. Lineage: Eukaryota; Viridiplantae; Streptophyta; Magnoliopsida; Poales; Poaceae.